AUUGCCCCACUUGUUCCUACAAAUUGGUCUGCAGCCAAACCUCUUUAGAAAUAUCUAAAAAGGCCGGGACCUUUGGAGUUCUACUAUUUACUACAAAUCAUUAAGGCAGGGGGAGAAGAUGUCAUCAUUGCAAGUGUGCACGGAAUGAGACUUCUUGGAUAUAUAUAAAUACAGGGAUUCCAUCACUGGGGAGCAUUGGGAGACUGGACACAACCAAAAGCAUCAGCACCAAAUCACACUAUCUGCAUGAUGAAGGCUGCAGCUGUGCUGUUCCUCCUCCUAGGACUCUAUUGCUGCUUCUUUGCCUCAGAUGCUCAUCAUUCCUAUGAGCCACGGGUUGACUGCAGUGCUUAUAUGAAGCUUUCCGACAGGACCAAACCUAAAGGAUGCACCCUGGAGUACUUCCCAGUAUGUGGUUCCAAUGGCCAACAUACACCAACAAAUGUCUCUUUUGCAGAGCAGCCAUAGCAAGUCAAGGGAAGAUCCAUUUUAAGCAUUAUGGGAAAUGCUGAGUCAUUGCCGCACACGGUCUAUGGAGGCGUGUUCCGUUCAUCUCUGGCAGCUCUGCCUUGCUCUUUUCAACUCAUCCUGCCGCAUCCUAAUCCACUCAAGCUUUUGUUCUUUUCAAGUUUCUCCUGAUCUGUUGAUUUAAAAUAAAGACCUCCCAGUCUUA
This is a non-coding RNA of Podarcis muralis (Common wall lizard), 673 nucleotides long. Lineage: Eukaryota; Metazoa; Chordata; Lepidosauria; Squamata; Lacertidae. The record is from RefSeq and is a predicted model, not a curated record.